RNAcentral lists this transfer RNA (72 nucleotides) under Ovis aries (sheep). It matches the Rfam family "tRNA". Rfam says of the family: Transfer RNA (tRNA) molecules are approximately 80 nucleotides in length. Lineage: Eukaryota; Metazoa; Chordata; Mammalia; Artiodactyla; Bovidae. The record is from Rfam by way of RNAcentral.
UCCCUUAUGGCUUACUUGGUAAAGAAUCCACCUGCAAUGUGGGAGACCUGGGUUCGAUCCCUGGGGUGGGAA